This 716-nucleotide long non-coding RNA is filed under the name Pectinophora gossypiella (pink bollworm). Its description in RNAcentral is "uncharacterized LOC126377442". Lineage: Eukaryota; Metazoa; Arthropoda; Insecta; Lepidoptera; Gelechiidae. The record is from RNAcentral.
ACAAUAACUAAAGCAUAGAAGGAAGGCUAAAAUAAGAAUUCAGAAACUAUAAACCGGCUCUCUUCUAGCUUACGACACAAACUAUGAGUGAGAAAAGGACAAAUGAUUCGCUCUUUGCUUCAUUUUUUCCGAGGUUGUCACAACAUGAAAUGUCAUUUGGACCUAUUGGACUCAUUUUAAUUCGGCCAAAUACAUAGUAACAUACAUAAGAAGAUUUUACUUAUAUUUACCGAACUAUUUGACACGGUCGCGUGAACUUUGUUUACGAGUGUCUUGUGUUCAGAUUGUUUUAAGUGAUAAUUUAACAAUAUUUUUCCAAAUAAAUGGAAAGAAACUUUUAUUUAUAUCAAAUAAUUGAGUGUCUCGACUCUGUGACAUUAUGUCUUGUGUGGUAUGGGGCUGCAGCUCACAUUCAGGAAGAAAAGAAAAUAGCCAACAACUUCUGUCGUUUCAUCGAUAUUAAAUCCAAAAGUGUCGACUGGAUUUACAUGAAAAGUCAGUUCAAGAAGACGAGAUGAAAAAUUUAAAAGAAAAGCUGAACAAGUCACGCCUCAAGAUCAAACGACUUAAUGAAAAAAAAAAUCAAUGUGACAGGGUGUCACAAAGACAGUUUCUAAACAAAUUGACACUGUUUAGAAAUUAAUAAAUUUGUAUUUAUUGUAAAUAUAAUGUACAUAAUUAAUAACGUGUAAAAUAAAUACUUGCUAAUGAACAGA